AUACGUAGGUGGCAAGCGUUGUCCGGAAUUAUUGGGCGUAAAGCGCGCGCAGGCGGAUCUGCCAGUCUGUCUUAAAAGUUCGGGGCUUAACCCCGUGAUGGGAUGGAAACUACAGAUCUAGAGUAUCGGAGAGGAAAGUGGAAUUCCUAGUGUAGCGGUGAAAUGCGUAGAUAUUAGGAAGAACACCAGUGGCGAAGGCGGCCUGCUGGACAUUAACUGACGCUGAGGCGCGAAAGCGUGGGGAGC
This 246-nucleotide ribosomal RNA is filed under the name uncultured bacterium. RNAcentral's name for it is "partial 16S ribosomal RNA". It matches the Rfam family "Bacterial small subunit ribosomal RNA", at positions 523 to 769 of the family's 1533-position model. The record is from RNAcentral.